CAGUCGCCCACGGGAAUACGAAGGGUGCAAGCGUUACUCGGAAUUACUGGGCGUAAAGCGUGCGUAGGUGGUGGUUUAAGUCCGUUGUGAAAGCCCUGGGCUCAACCUGGGAAUUGCAGUGGAUACUGGGUCACUAGAGUGUGGUAGAGGAUAGUGGAAUUUCCGGUGUAGCAGUGAAAUGCGUAGAGAUCGGAAGGAACAUCUGUGGCGAAGGCGACUAUCUGGGCCAACACUGACACUGAGGCACGAAAGCGUGGGGAGCAAACAGGAUUAGAUACCCCUGUAGUCCCUGUCUCUUAUU
Molecule: ribosomal RNA, 301 nt
Filed under: uncultured bacterium
Lineage: Bacteria
Description: partial 16S ribosomal RNA
Rfam family: Bacterial small subunit ribosomal RNA
Source: RNAcentral